AGCCGCCGCGGUAACACCGGCGGCCCGAGUGGUGAUCGUGAUUAUUGGGUCUAAAGGGUCCGUAGCCGGUUUGGUCAGUCCUCCGGGAAAUCUGAUAGCUCAACUAUUAGGCUUUCGGGGGAUACUGCCAGACUUGGAACCGGGAGAGGUAAGAGGUACUACAGGGGUAGGAGUGAAAUCUUGUAAUCCCUGUGGGACCACCUGUGGCGAAGGCGUCUUACCAGAACGGGUUCGACGGUGAGGGACGAAAGCUGGGGGCACGAACCGGAUUAGAUACCCGGGUAGUCCCAGCCGUAAACGAUGCUCGCUAGGUGUCAGGCAUGGCGCGACCGUGUCUGGUGCCGCAGGGAAGCCGUGAAGCGAGCCACCUGGGAAGUACGGCCGCAAGGCUGAAACUUAAAGGAAUUGGCGGGGGAGCACAACAACGGGUGGAGCCCUGCGGUUUAAUUGGACUCAACGCCGGACAACUCACCGGGGGCGACAGCAAUAUGUAGGCCAAGCUGAAGACUUUGCCUGAAUCGCUGAGGAGUGGUGCAUGG
Molecule: ribosomal RNA, 539 nt
Filed under: uncultured archaeon
Lineage: Archaea
Description: bacterial SSU rRNA
Rfam family: Archaeal small subunit ribosomal RNA
Source: RNAcentral